This 276-nucleotide ribosomal RNA is filed under the name Triticum aestivum (bread wheat). RNAcentral describes it as "partial small subunit ribosomal RNA". Lineage: Eukaryota; Viridiplantae; Streptophyta; Magnoliopsida; Poales; Poaceae. The record is from RNAcentral.
AUGCGCUCGACGAGGCUUUUGUGGAUCUCCCCCGAUGUACAGCCAACACUGGCGACCUCCUCGGCGUUGAGGUUGCCACCGAGCAUGGCCUUGUGCAGGAGGGCCCUGAUGUCGCGGUCCUCACGCUCGCUGUGGAGCUUGUUGGCCUGGUGCUGGAGCUUGGCGAGGCACUUGGUGAGGAACUCCUCCUGGCUCAUCGUCUUCUUGAACUGCGGCAUGUUCGGCAUGGCCUUGUACCGAUUCAGGAUUUCCACCGCCUCGGCAUGGGACGGGUAA